Molecule: non-coding RNA, 76 nt
Organism: Gopherus flavomarginatus (Mexican gopher tortoise)
Lineage: Eukaryota; Metazoa; Chordata; Testudines; Testudinidae
Source: the annotation of a RefSeq genome assembly
GCCCGUCUGUGGCGCAAUGGGUUAGCGCGUUCGGCUGUUAACCGAAACGAUGGUGGUUCGAGCCCACCCGGGGACG